GAUGAACGCUGGCGGCGUGCCUAACACAUGCAAGUCGAACGGAAUUUACAUGAAGCCUAGCGAUUGUAAAUUUAGUGGCGGACGGGUGAGUAACGCGUGGGUAACCUGCCUUGUACUGGGGGACAACAGUUGGAAACGACUGCUAAUACCGCAUAAGCGCACAGCUUCGCAUGAAGCAGUGUGAAAAACUCCGGUGGCGUGAGAUGGACCCGCGUCUGAUUAGCUAGUUGGCAGGGCAACGGCCUACCAAGGCGACGAUCAGUAGCCGACCUGAGAGGGUGACCGGCCACAUUGGGACUGAGACACGGCCCAAACUCCUACGGGAGGCAGCAGUGGGGAAUAUUGCACAAUGGGGGAAACCCUGAUGCAGCGACGCCGCGUGAGCGAAGAAGUAUUUCGGUAUGUAAAGCUCUAUCAGCAGGGAAGAAGAAAUGACGGUACCUGACUAAGAAGCACCGGCUAAAUACGUG
This 470-nucleotide ribosomal RNA is filed under the name uncultured bacterium. RNAcentral describes it as "bacterial SSU rRNA". It matches the Rfam family "Bacterial small subunit ribosomal RNA", at positions 28 to 507 of the family's 1533-position model. The record is from RNAcentral.